Molecule: ribosomal RNA, 390 nt
Filed under: Escherichia coli
Lineage: Bacteria; Pseudomonadati; Pseudomonadota; Gammaproteobacteria; Enterobacterales; Enterobacteriaceae
Description: bacterial SSU rRNA
Rfam family: Bacterial small subunit ribosomal RNA
Source: RNAcentral
GAGCUUUCCCCUUCGGGGGACAAAGUGACAGGUGGUGCAUGGUUGUCGUCAGCUCGUGUCGUGAGAUGUUGGGUUAAGUCCCGCAACGAGCGCAACCCUUAAGCUUAGUUGCCAUCAUUAAGUUGGGCACUCUAAGUUGACUGCCGGUGACAAACCGGAGGAAGGUGGGGAUGACGUCAAAUCAUCAUGCCCCUUAUGAUUUGGGCUACACACGUGCUACAAUGGACAAUACAAAGGGCAGCGAAACCGUGAGGUCAAGCAAAUCCCAUAAAGUUGUUCUCAGUUCGGAUUGUAGUCUGCAACUCGACUACAUGAAGCUGGAAUCGCUAGUAAUCGUAGAUCAGCAUGCUACGGUGAAUACGUUCCCGGGUCUUGUACACACCGCCCGUC